This is a long non-coding RNA of Scatophagus argus, 2706 nucleotides long. RefSeq lists it as uncharacterized. The record is from RefSeq and is a predicted model, not a curated record. Lineage: Eukaryota; Metazoa; Chordata; Actinopteri; Scatophagidae. The transcript is spliced from 4 exons.
CGUGUGAGUGUGUAUUUAUGGGAACAAAACAGGCAGGUAUUCACAGGUCUCGGUUUUCUUUCGCUUCCUUCCUUAUUGUUGCAGAUUCCCUUAGUGCAAGAGGAACUUCAAAUUCCUGUAGGACCUUUAACACAAACAGUCACAGACACCUGGACGAUCCUACUACAAAGAAUAAAAACUCCCUCCUCUGUGAUGUCAACCCCUGUCCCUUCUCCUCAACCAAGAGGCAUCGACUACAGCCUUCCCACCUGUGGAGAGACUAAGUGCAAUAGCCACGGGGUCUGCGUGGCACCUCCUGGUGGUGGCACUGAUUUGGUGUGUGACUGUGUCCUUGGCUACCGGGGACAACACUGUGAGGACACUGUCAACGGGGCCCUAAGCCUGCCACUGACCCUGAGUGUGUUGGCCGUCAUCUUCGGCCUGCUGAUUAUGGCUUUCAUCUUUGCCAAAUUGAGGCAGAAACAAAAGAAGAGCCAGAGGAGACAGCAAACUGAAAAAAAUGGCUGCAAUAUUGCGGUGUAAUGAGGAUAAAUCUCCAUUAUAUCAGAGGUCAACCAUGACACUGUGACCAGUGGCAAUAUUGUGCUUCCGUCAGCAUCCUUCUGCAGCAGCCUUACAAUUACACAUUUUCUUUAAUUUGUGCGUGUGUGUGUAUUUUAAAGUAUAUCUCCAAACACGUGACUCAUUAAAAGCAAAUAUUAUGCAAGGAGAUCACAGAUGAGAUCGAGACAAGUAAGGGAUGUUUACAGGCAUGAGUGUAACACUGGCCUUUCAUUGAGCCGUGUUUGAAGCAUUGAGGUUUUACGUGAAGAACACAGCAGGAAGCUGUUGACUUGUUUCAAGCUGUUGACAUAAUGCAUUAUUGCUGUUCAGCAACUCUACAUCAGCAUCCAUUUAGGUAGAAAGUUUAUGAAAUAUGUAUUUUUCAUAGAAAAUAUAAAAUAAUUGAAAAACAUCAGUUUGAGAAAGAAAUUUUGUCACUAACAUAAUUUACAUGUAGCACAAUCAAAACCCUGUGGAUAAUGUGCACUAUCAUUAUCCAUGAACAGCCACACAUUCUGAACAUGAUGUAAUCCAACUCCAAUUCACAGAUGUUUUCUGUUUGUUUGCUUUUAGAUUGAUUGUUUUAUUUAUAGAAUUAUAUAGAAAAAUAUUGUGGCUGAAAGAAAAUUAACACCAUUGCUUUUUAAAGCUGGUGCAACCACUUUUAUGUUGUGGGCAUUUUGACUGUCCGCACAUUGACUGACUUUUUAAUAGUAAUUACUGUCUUUGGUGGACCAGUGGCUUCCUUUAAAUACAUAGAAAGCCGAGCUGACUGUUAUAGUGAUAGUGAAAAACUGUGAGUGCUGUGAUUAUAUGCGUAACACUGAGGGAGCAAGAGGAAGAACUUCAGGUUUUUCCUCAUAGUAAUCCAUGUCAUACAGGGUAAACCAGGAACCAGACUUGAUUGGUUAUGAAGAAAUGCAUGCUUUUAAUCAGUUGUGGUCACUGAGAUUUUUGUACUUUGUGUACUGCAUUAUCAUACCAUCACUUUUGCAUUUUUUGCUUUCAGCCUCUUGCGAGAUGCCUGUUGCGUUUAUUUGUUUCGGAAGACUCAGGUUUGCUCCCAGCUGAAAAAAAAAAAAGGAAAAAGGGGUCUUCAGUUUGUUGAGUAACCUGCAAACUGAGAUUUGAGAUCUGUUUCCCUGAGCAUUGAGAAUAAGCAAGGUCAGAAGCUUUGCAAAGUCAGUUGUGUCUGCAGAUUUCCUCUCACUUUAUCUCAGUGUCCACUUUGUUUCAUGCUUGCUGUGUCUAUGUGCUUUCACAGUAAAUCAUGUGCUGCCUAAUUGUCAACUUGCAGACUGCCGUCUUAGUGGUCCUCCUACAUGAUGUGCUCUUACUGAUGAAUCAAGUCUUAGGAGCAUUGCCAGUGUUAAGUGCUUUUUUUGUGCUCUUUUUUAAAUGUCUGUUUCUUUAGUACAUUGACUGAAUAACUACGCUUUAUAUGUUUUGUUGUAAUUCAUGAUUCUCAAAAGCAUUAGCAAGAUGCAUAAAAGUUUCUAUAAUCUCAUCUUCCUCUCUGUUUUUGUCUUUCCACAGUAAUUCAUUUAUCAUGUGUUGAAUCACUGAGUGUGUCGGGGUUAAUGAGUUUUGGAAAUAUACAGCUGUUUUUUUUUUAGAUAGUGAGAAAAGUAUUGCUCACCGUCAAGAGAGCUCUUCAAGGCCUGUUCUGCAUUUGCAAAGCAAGUUUGGUUAUAAAGGUAAUACUUAAAAAGAAAAGAAAUAAUAAAGUACAUAGCAGUGGUUGCUAGUAAAUAGCAUGCAGCAGCAAUCUUAUUAACAAAGGUGACUAAAUAAACACUACAAGCUAUCAGGCUGACAGUUACAUCAGCCUGGCUUACAGCUUAAACAAUACCGUGCCAAACAUGGAUGACAGAAAAGGAAUUUAAAAAUGAAGCAAAACAGGAUCUGGAAAGGCGUGCACAUAUAUUUUAGUUUUGGGUGCUUGAAAUAGCUCGUUCUGAGGGGAUAAAAAAGACUUACACAUUUUUCUCUCAAGACUAGUGAUGGUCAUUAGUGGGAAAAAUAAAAAACCUUUACUGGAAUUAAAAAACACUGUUUAAAAUGAGAAAUGCCUUUACUUCACCUUUUAUAUUAUAAGACAACAACUUUACUGCACUUACGCUUUUUUGUUUUCACCAGCUUUCAAAUAAAAAGUACAGACAC